GUAAUAGUUAUGUUCUUGAAACCCAAAGAAUUUGGCGGUAUUUUAGUCCUUUCAGAGGAACCUGUCCCGUAAUCGACAAUCCACGAUAUAAUUUACUUAUUUUUGUUUUUCAGUUUGUAUACCUCCGUCAUAAGAGAAUCUUUUUAGAGUAUUAAUUUUCUUAUUAUAAUAAAUAUAUUAUGUCAGGUCAAGGUGCAAUUUAUGAAUAAGUGGAGAUGGGUUACAAUAAACUUAUUUAUACGGAUUAAAAUAUUUAGUAGUUUUAUGAAGGAGGAUUUGAUAGUAAUUUUAAUUUUUUAUUAAUUUGAUUUUGGCUCUAAAAUAUGCACACAUCGCCCG
Molecule: ribosomal RNA, 339 nt
Filed under: Antipodogomphus acolythus
Lineage: Eukaryota; Metazoa; Arthropoda; Insecta; Odonata; Gomphidae
Description: partial 12S ribosomal RNA
Source: RNAcentral